This 223-nucleotide long non-coding RNA is filed under the name Mytilus galloprovincialis (Mediterranean mussel). Lineage: Eukaryota; Metazoa; Mollusca; Bivalvia; Mytilida; Mytilidae. The record is from RNAcentral.
CAAAAAUGUGUAUUGUAGUAGUCAGUUUAUGACAGUAGUAUAUAUAGAUCAUUAAAAUGAAGAAACUGAAGUGAGUAAACAAACAUGAUUUUUUUUAAUAUUAUUAUUAAAUGAAUAUUAGAGGAAAGAGACUUCAAUGUUCCUGUUUGUGCUGUAGUAUGUAAAUAUAUGCUGGCUUAAUUGCGCAUAUACAUUUUUUUAUAGCUGUAUUAAAUAUAAGCCA